RNAcentral lists this long non-coding RNA (1148 nucleotides) under Taeniopygia guttata (zebra finch). RNAcentral describes it as "lncRNA (ENSTGUG00000029273.1)". Lineage: Eukaryota; Metazoa; Chordata; Aves; Passeriformes; Estrildidae. The record is from RNAcentral.
UAAGGAACACCAGGCCAGAACCUCCCUGAACAGGGUCAGUUCUCUCUAUACAUUCCCAAGCUUUAAUAGCCUUCACUUGUACAACUGUAGAUUUAUUUUCUACAGGGUUCCCUCCUUGUUCUGUAACGGCAAGCACAGGUGCAAACCUGCUGUUCCCCAACAUUUGAAUGCUCCAUUUUGAAAUCUGAAUUUUUAUUAAUAAAGUAAUAACUACACCUUAACAAGGUACCCAAAAAUACUAGAUUGAAAUCUAUAAAAUGCUGCUGACAGAGCCCUUUUCUGAGUGUAAGUGCAUAAGUAUCCUUAAGACUAGCAAGAGCAUUCCCCAUAUCUCUGGUGGGGAAGGACAAGAUUGAUCUGCGUUGUCAGGCAACCAAUUGCAAACUAAAUAUAACACUUCUAAACGCUUGUGUAUCUCAAAUUCAUUAAACACAGAAACUAGAUAAAAGGGGUUCUGCAAACUCCCCAUACUCUUCUUUCUCCCACAGAGAGAGAGGACCAGCACCUGGAGGAGACUGUGACGUUUCUGGACAGGGACUCACUGCUGACGGCUGCCAUGUGCGACAGCAAGCAGGAGGGCCCUGGUGCCAGGGAGCCAGUUACACAUAUGGAACAUUCCUGACACAGAAAAAGCAUUCCACCUGCAGGAGAAAGACUGUCCAAAAGUAUCACACACAGCAAACUCAGGUGGCUGUGUCACCACUGGGGUGUGACCAGGCAGGGCCCACUGGAAGCACAGACUGUUCUGCCAGCACUAAACCAGGGGGAUAUGGGAUGCUGUCAACACACCUCAGGGUACAGAAGAUAAGACUAACGAGUCCCAAGCUUGAGGCCUUUGCAAGACAGAAAGAACACAGCGGAGAGUUUUAAUAAUUUGGGAAAGGUCAGCAUCCAGUCCUACCUUCACAAACCUGAGAUGUCAGCACAAAGAACCUCUGAGAACUUUGCCUGUGACUAGAGUGGACACUCCUUUUAGUGUGUUUGAGAUGUCAUGAGCAGCAAGUCAGAGCCAUAUGAAGUAGGAGUCACCCAACAGGAUGUAAUUUUUUUUUUUUUAAUCGUUUUCUGGAAUUAAUAUGAGCAACCAACUGUAAGAUGGAUUUCAGCUAGAAAUAUCUUUUAAAUUAGAAGCCACAACUGAGCAAAUA